RNAcentral lists this small RNA (338 nucleotides) under Mycolicibacterium mageritense DSM 44476 = CIP 104973. RNAcentral describes it as "GOLLD". It matches the Rfam family "Giant, ornate, lake- and Lactobacillales-derived (GOLLD) RNA". Lineage: Bacteria; Bacillati; Actinomycetota; Actinomycetes; Mycobacteriales; Mycobacteriaceae. The record is from RNAcentral.
GGAAGGCACGCCCUCCCAGAUCCACAAGUCUUGAUCAUUCCUCGCAUCCAACAAGCGAAAGACUUUCCCUGCCACGGCUCAACAGCGCCGUAAUCCUCGACUCCACAAGGGGAAUCGAGGCGGUCGUGAACUCGCAAGGUGAUCGGCCGUCCGUGAGGCGGUAGUGCAGCGCAGAGGUUGGCUGCCCCUGCGCGAAGCGAAACCUGCGGAGUAGACCGUGGCAUGACGAGUGGUUGCCGCAAGCAACCCGGCGCGGCGGUUACCAGUGGGAGCUGGUGGACAAGUCGGGAAACGAUAAUCCGACGAGAGACCGUCAUGGGUGGGUGCAGUCUCAGCCC